GAUGAAGAACGCAGCGAAAUGCGAUAAGUAGUGUGAAUUGCAGAAUUCAGUGAAUCAUCGAAUCUUUGAACGCACAUUGCGCCCCUUGGUAUCCCGAGGGGCAUGCCUGUUCGAGCGUCAUUUCACCACUCAAGCCUGGCUUGUGUUGGGCGACGUCCUCUUUGGGGACGCGCCUCGAAACGCUCGGCGGCGUGGCACCGGCUUUAAGCGUAGCAGAAUCUUUCGCUUUGGAAGUCGGGGCCCCGUCUGCCGGAAGACCUGCUCGCAAGGUUGACCUCGGAUCAGGCAGGGAUACCCGCUGAACUUAAGCAUAUCAAUAAGCGGAGGA
This 328-nucleotide unclassified non-coding RNA is filed under the name soil metagenome. Its description in RNAcentral is "partial contains 5.8S ribosomal RNA, internal transcribed spacer 2, and large subunit ribosomal RNA". The stretch from base 1 to 120 matches the Rfam family "5.8S ribosomal RNA", at positions 35 to 154 of the family's 154-position model. The record is from RNAcentral.